UGGGGAAUAUUGCACAAUGGGCGCAAGCCUGAUGCAGCCAUGCCGCGUGUAUGAAGAAGGCCUUCGGGUUGUAAAGUACUUUCAGCGGGGAGGAAGGUGUUGAGGCUAAUAACCUCAGCAAUUGACGUUACCCGCAGAAGAAGCACCGGCUAACUCCGUGCCAGCAGCCGCGGUAAUACGGAGGGUGCAAGCGUUAAUCGGAAUUACUGGGCGUAAAGCGCACGCAGGCGGUCUGUCAAGUCGGAUGUGAAAUCCCCGGGCUCAACCUGGGAACUGCAUUCGAAACUGGCAGGCUAGAGUCUUGUAGAGGGGGGUAGAAUUCCAGGUGUAGCGGUGAAAUGCGUAGAGAUCUGGAGGAAUACCGGUGGCGAAGGUGGCCCCCUGGACAAAGACUGACGCUCAGGUGCGAAAGCGUGGGGAGCAAACA
RNAcentral lists this ribosomal RNA (427 nucleotides) under uncultured bacterium. RNAcentral describes it as "partial 16S ribosomal RNA". It matches the Rfam family "Bacterial small subunit ribosomal RNA", at positions 355 to 774 of the family's 1533-position model. The record is from RNAcentral.